RNAcentral lists this ribosomal RNA (253 nucleotides) under uncultured bacterium. Its description in RNAcentral is "partial 16S ribosomal RNA". It matches the Rfam family "Bacterial small subunit ribosomal RNA", at positions 524 to 776 of the family's 1533-position model. The record is from RNAcentral.
UACGUAGGUGGCAAGCGUUGUCCGGAUUUAUUGGGUGUAAAGGGUGCGUAGGCGGCUUUGUAAGUCAGUGGUGAAAUAUGGCAGCUCAACUGUGAGGGUGCCAUUGAUACUGCAGAGCUUGAGUACAGAUGAGGUAGGCGGAAUUGACGGUGUAGCGGUGAAAUGCUUAGAUAUCGUCAAGAACACCGAUAGCGAAGGCAGCUUACUGGGCUGUAACUGACGCUGAGGCACGAAAGUGUGGGGAUCAAACAGG